RNAcentral lists this ribosomal RNA (446 nucleotides) under uncultured bacterium. Its description in RNAcentral is "bacterial SSU rRNA". It matches the Rfam family "Bacterial small subunit ribosomal RNA", at positions 29 to 521 of the family's 1533-position model. The record is from RNAcentral.
AACGAACGCUGGCGGCAUGCCUAACACAUGCAAGUCGAACGAAGCCUUCGGGCUUAGUGGCGCACGGGUGCGUAACGCGUGGGAAUCUGCCCUUGGGUUCGGAAUAACAGUUAGAAAUGACUGCUAAUACCGAAUGAUGUCUUCGGACCAAAGAUUUAUCGCCCAAGGAUGAGCCCGCGUCGGAUUAGCUAGUUGGUGAGGUAAAGGCUCACCAAGGCGACGAUCCGUAGCUGGUCUGAGAGGAUGAUCAGCCACACUGGGACUGAGACACGGCCCAGACUCCUACGGGAGGCAGCAGUGGGGAAUAUUGGACAAUGGGCGAAAGCCUGAUCCAGCAAUGCCGCGUGAGUGAUGAAGGCCUUAGGGUUGUAAAGCUCUUUUACCCGGAUGAUAAUGACAGUACCGGGAGAAUAAGCCCCGGCUAACUCCGUGCCAGCAGCCGCGGU